Molecule: regulatory RNA element, 75 nt
Organism: Kocuria palustris PEL
Lineage: Bacteria; Bacillati; Actinomycetota; Actinomycetes; Micrococcales; Micrococcaceae
Rfam family: Actino-pnp RNA
Source: Rfam
CCCGGUCCUCGACAGUGGUCCACGGAAUCCCCGCAGCCUCGCUGCCGCGGCCGUGGACUUCGAUCGAAGACCGUG